This 1453-nucleotide long non-coding RNA is filed under the name Sus scrofa (pig). RNAcentral describes it as "lncRNA (ENSSSCG00025004028.1, ENSSSCG00055002425.1)". Lineage: Eukaryota; Metazoa; Chordata; Mammalia; Artiodactyla; Suidae. The record is from RNAcentral.
CAAGUCCACUGACACCAUCAAGUUUUAGGAGGUUUAUUCUCUGCUCCCUGAGGCCACCCCCUUGUAUAAGAAGAUGCUAAUUUUAACAGGAGAUCAUGCAUCCCAAGAGCAGGAGUGAACGUGCAGCUAUUUCUUGGCAACCCUAACUGCCACCAGAGUUGCCAGGCUGCUAAAGGCAUUCGCCUGUGCUGUACACACAGCUGGGAAAUCAGAAGCAAGGAGCUGGGUUUGUUACCAGCCAAAGCCCUGGAACUCACAAGGCAAUCUGCUCUCCUUGGGAAGUUUUUGUCUGAGCAUCUGAGAUAUUUUCAAGUAAGAAGCCAUGGAGAUUGGAAGAGCUACCCCUGCAGCAAAAUCAGCCUUGUGUUAUGUACAGGCUGGCCUGUGACAACAAGCCCUGGGGACACUGGGGUUCCAGCCCUGCUCAGCCGAGGUGAGGAGUGGGCUCAGUAGAAGUGUUUUUCAGGGCCCAGCAUACCUGUGGGCAGAGUCGGGCACCUCUUACCCAUCCUGGGGUUUAUAUAGCUGAGAAAAUUCUGGAAGUCAUGUUCCAAAUCAUAGACAAGGUAAACCCUACAAAACCAGGCUGCUCAUCUUGCUAUUCAAGUCAGGAUAUUUUCAAUUGUGAGAGAGUGACUCACAAUCGAAUCUCUGAAUAAUACAGAGGAAUUAAUUGGUUCCUAUAACCAAAAAGUCCUGGGAGUAUAUGGCUUUAGGCGUGGCUGAAUCAGAAGCUCAGAUAAUAGCUACAAGAAACCUUCUCUGCAUUUUUUGUCUUUGCUCUCUUUUGUGUUUACUUCAUUUAGAAAUAGGCAACUAUGGCCCCUUGCUGUUUCAAGUUUUUAUUCUACAGCUUAACUUCAGAGGAAAGAGACCAACUCUUCACUUUUUGUAAGAGCUUUCUUGAAAUAUAACUCAUGUAUUAAACAGCUUACCCUGGGAUUUCCCUGGUGGCCUAGUGGGAUAGGCCAAGCUUUUUAUUAUCUGUCAUUUUGAUUGUAGCCACCCUAGUGGGUGUUAAGUGGUACCUCAUUAAGGUUUUGAUCUGUGUUUCCCUUGGAAGGAAAGGAGGUAAGGGGACUCCUUGAGUGGUGAAUAUCAUCAUUUCAGACAUGAAGUUUGAACUUAGAAUUAACCGAAUAUUUACACAAAAGGGGUAUUCAAAUCAGAAGAGACAGAAUUACUUUUAAUUGAUAAAUGUAGAUGUUUUCUGCCCUCAGAGGAAAAUUACUCUAAAGCAAGAUGUUGUCAUUUAAAACAUCACAUAUCGGAGUUCCCGUCGUGGCGCAGUGGUUAACGAAUCCGACUAGGAACCAUGAGGUUGCGGGUUCGAUCCCUGCCCUUGCUCAGUGGGUUAAGGAUCCGGCGUUGCCGUGAGCUGUGGUGUAGGUUGCAGACACGGCUCGGAUCCCGCGUUGCUGUGGCUCUGGCGUAGGCCGGUGGCUACAGCUCC